This 503-nucleotide long non-coding RNA is filed under the name Mytilus galloprovincialis (Mediterranean mussel). The record is from RNAcentral. Lineage: Eukaryota; Metazoa; Mollusca; Bivalvia; Mytilida; Mytilidae.
AAACUAGUAUCUCAAUUGUUUGUAAAACAAUUGAAAGGUCUUUCCUGUAAAAGUGAUGUUUUCGUAUUGUACUUUGUACUACCUUUCGUUUGAUAUACCACAAGCAUACCUUCUGAAACUUUUCGCUUUUUACACUUAAUGACCUCAUCCGCCUACAUUUUUGAGAUCGGAAUUAUGAUAUAUGGAACAGAGUAGAUGAGAUUUCAUUUGAUAUGCGACAACACCAUGUUCUAGAAAGUUUGAUUUUUGCACUUAAUUACCCUAUCCAACUAUUUUUUGGAGGUCGGGAAUUUGAUAUUUCAAAUGUACACAUCAUGACCUUUCAUUUGAUAUACAACAACCCUACCUUAAAAGAACAUUUAUUUUUUGCACUCAAUGACCCCCUCCAACCCAUUUUUGGGAGACGUCAAUUUGAAAUUUGAAAUGUACGCUUUAUGUUCUUUCAUUUGAUAUGCGACAACCUUACCAUCUGAGAAAUUUGAAUGUUUGCACUAAAUGACCCC